RNAcentral lists this ribosomal RNA (405 nucleotides) under uncultured bacterium. RNAcentral's name for it is "partial 16S ribosomal RNA". It matches the Rfam family "Bacterial small subunit ribosomal RNA", at positions 30 to 526 of the family's 1533-position model. The record is from RNAcentral.
AUUGAAUGCUAGCGGGAUGCUUUACACAUGCAAGUCGAACGAGUGGCGGACGGGUGCGUAAUAUAUCGGAACGUGCCCAGUAGCGGGGGCUAACUACUCUAAAGAGUGGCUAAUACCGCAUACUCUUGGAGCUGCCGCUAUCGGAUUAGCUAGGUGGUGGGGUAAAGUCUCACCAAGGAAACGAUCAGUAGCUGGUUUGAGAGGACGACCAGCCACACUGGGACUGAGACACGGCCCAGACUCCGACGAGAGGCAGCAGUGGGGAAUUUGGGAAAAUGGGGGAAACCCUGAUCCAGCCAUCCCGCGUGUAUGAGAAGGCCUUCGGGUUGUAAAGUACUUUUGGCAGAGAAGCGGUAUCUGCAGAAUAAGCACCGGCUAACUACGUGCCAGCAGCCGCGGUAAUUC